CCUGAGAAACCCAAAAGAUCGAAAGAGGAGAUUCAACGUCAGCAUGUGCAGUAUUCACGUGAGUAGUGAUGUGAGUUGUUCAAUGAGGUUUUUAAUUUUGUUGACGCUCGCACAUUUUCAUGUUUUUUUAUUGCUGUACUAUUGUCGGCGUGCACUUCUCCUCUAGUAGAACGUCCCGACCUGUUGAGUCUCAGCCUACGGCCCAGAUGGUAGCCUUUGAUACAUUUAUUUGUAUUGAAGACCUCUGGUGUUUCCUGGUCUGAGUGCCCGACGGUAUAAAACAAUUACGGUAUUGAGCCGCAUCUUUGAGUGCGUCUAGCCUGUUGCAAGCUUGGUUAGAUUGUCACUACGUAGGCUUUGUUUCUAUGUAUGCGAUCUGAUCAGCUGUUAGCCAACAGUGUUCUUAGACUGGCCUAUCGAUA
RNAcentral lists this ribosomal RNA (422 nucleotides) under Aposigalphus sp. JS253. RNAcentral describes it as "partial 28S ribosomal RNA". Lineage: Eukaryota; Metazoa; Arthropoda; Insecta; Hymenoptera; Braconidae. The record is from RNAcentral.